RNAcentral lists this transfer RNA (75 nucleotides) under Candidatus Amesbacteria bacterium RBG_16_48_31. RNAcentral describes it as "tRNA-Thr". It matches the Rfam family "tRNA". Rfam says of the family: Transfer RNA (tRNA) molecules are approximately 80 nucleotides in length. Their secondary structure includes four short double-helical elements and three loops (D, anti-codon, and T loops). RNAcentral also lists the same sequence under 8 other names. The record is from RNAcentral. Lineage: Bacteria; Candidatus Amesiibacteriota.
GCCGAGGUAGCUCAGUGGUAGAGCAGCGGUAUCGUAAACCGCGGGUCGGGGGUUCAAAUCCCCCCCUCGGCUCAA